CUCUGGCCCAAUACUGACACUGAGGAGCGAAAGCGUGGGGAGCGAACAGGAUUAGAUACCCUGGUAGUCCACGCCGUAAACGGUGGGCGCUAGUUGUGGGAACCUUCCACGGUUUCUGCGACGCAGCUAACGCAUUAAGCGCCCCGCCUGGGGAGUACGAUCGCAAGAUUAAAACUCAAAGGAAUUGACGGGGCCCCGCACAAGCAGCGGAGCAUGCGGCUUAAUUCGACGCAACGCGAAGAACCUUACCAAGGCUUGACAUAUACAGGAAUAUGGCAGAGAUGUCAUAGCGGUAAAACGUCUGUAUACAGGUGGUGCAUGGUUGUCGUCAGCUCGUGUCGUGAGAUGUUGGGUUAAGUCCCGCAACGAGCGCAACCCUCGUUCUGUGUUGCCAGCAUUUAGUUGGGGACUCACAGGAGACUGCCGGGGUUAACUCGGAGGAAGGUGGGGAUGACGUCAAAUCAUCAUGCCCCUUAUGUCUUGGGCUGCACGCAUGCUACAAUGGCUGGUACAAAGGGCUGCAAUACUGCAAAGUGGAGCGAAUCCCAAAAAGCCAGUCUCAGUUCGGAUUGGGGUCUGCAACUCGACCCCAUGAAGUCGGAGUUGCUAGUAAUCGUAGAUCAGCAACGCUACGGUGAAUACGUUCCCGGGGCUUGUACGCACCGCCCGUCACAUCACGAAAGUCGGUAACACCCAAAGUCAGUGGCCCAACCGCAAGGAGG
Molecule: ribosomal RNA, 722 nt
Filed under: uncultured Actinomycetes bacterium
Lineage: Bacteria; Bacillati; Actinomycetota; Actinomycetes
Description: bacterial SSU rRNA
Rfam family: Bacterial small subunit ribosomal RNA
Source: RNAcentral